CGUCUUGCUAGAGACGUUAAACACUAGUUGUUCGUAGAAUUUUCAAAAAAAAAAAAAAAAAAAUGCAUUUUAUUAUUAUUUUGUUUUCUUUUCUUUUUGUACAUUUAUGUAUUUUUAAAUUCAAAAAGAAAAAAAAAAAAAUUUGUUGUGAUAGGUAGAAUAAGUUGGUAUUUGAUUUUAUUUUAAUUUUUAGUAGUAUUAUUUUAAUUUUAAUUUUUAUAUAUAUUUAAUUUUAGUAUAUAUAUUUUUCUUUUUAGUUUUACUUAAAAAAAAAAAAAAAAAUUAAGUUGGUAAGUGAUUUUAUUUUAAUUUUAUUUAUUAUUAUUUUAAUUUUUAUCUAUUUUUCAUUUCAGUGUAUAUAUUCUUUUUAGUUAUUAUUUUUUUUUUAUUUAUUUAUUUUUAGUGUAUAUAUUAAAAAAUAAAUAAAUUAAAGAAGAAAAAAAAAAGAAGCAAAAGAUGGAUCACCAUCUUGGCAGAGAGCAACAAAAAAAUGUUCCAAGUAGAUUGAUCCCCCAAUCACGUGGAUCGAUCCCUUUUUACCUAUGUCGCCACUUUCUCAUUCUACAGUGAAGGGCCAAUUUUGUGUCUAAAAUUAUCGAUCCCCUUAACUGAUGGAUCGAGCCCGUUAGCUUGCAUUCCCAUCUCUCUCUCGUCUGCAUUCACUGCCAACCCUAAAAUCUCUUAACCCAAGUUCUUCAAACCCUCGCUUUCUUCGACCAUCCUCUCUAUUCGAUCCUCUCUGUUCUAUCCUCUCUUGCGCCGUGUUGAAGAGGUCGUUCAACGGCGUCGCUGUUGGGUGGUGGGUUAUUUCCCGACGAUUUUACUUCGCCGUUCUCUGUUGCAUCUGGGCUAGCGAUCGCCGCUGGGUUUUUCUCCGAGAUCGCGGCUGUACAACUUUCCAGCGUCGGCUGGGUCUUUCCGGCGGGUGUGUUAAUCGCUGUAUUUCUCCGACGAGGUUGGGUCGCCGAGAUUACAUCACCGCGGCUGGUUUUUCUUUUUCAGCGCGUUUGGCUUAGUUCUCUGGCGUCUGCGGCUGUUGGGUCGCCGAGAUUACAUCGUCGCGGUUGGUUCGUUCGCCGGCUUGUUCGCUUCACCUGCAGUUUAGGCGUUGGGUUGUGGAUUUCGCCGACUGUGGGUUGCGUUUGAGGCUGUUGGGUAGAGAUUUCGCCGGCUUGUUCGCUGCGCUGGCGACGCGGCUGUUCGUCUUCCGGCGUCGCCUCUAUUCGUCUUUCUGGCGUCCCAUCUGUUCGUUUUCCAGCGAUUCGCGGCUGGGUUCGUCAACGAUUCGCGGCUGGGUCGUUCUCCGGCGAUCUCGGCUAGCACCGGCGAUCUGUUUCAUCCUCCGACGUUGCGACUGCUUCUUCUUCAGCGAUUCCGGCGUCUGGUUCUUCCAACAGCGAUCGCGGCGGCUCUUUCCGGCAAUUCCGGCUGGGCUUAAAUUCCGGCGCUGUUUGAGACUCGCCCUUUAUUUUUCUGGCGUUGCAACUGGCUGUUCCCUCCAGCGAUUUUGGCUAGAUUUUGAUUUGGUUUCUUCAUCAAUUUCGGCGGCUUUUGACUGGGUUUUCUCCGGCAAGUAUGUGGGGCAAUAAAGUUAAAAUGAGUUAAGAACGGUCCAAUUAAGCCUUUUUGGAGUUAAGCAAAGAUUUUCAGAAAAUGGCACAAAGCGGUCAAUCUCGGGCCUUUGAUGAUGUUCCCAAAGAUGGAGAAGCAAACCAAAUAGCCCAGGGCAAAAAUGGAGCUGAAUAAGGCUUAAAGGAAUUUUCCAACUCUGGGGGAUCGAUCCCCCAGGGUGGGGGAUCAAUCCCCCAGGACUUGGCAACAUUGCAUAUUUUUAUUUUAAUGUUUGGGCUUAUUUUGUAACCUAGUGGGCUUUAAUAGGUUUAUUACUUAAGCCCAGUGAGGCCCAUUGUUUUUAGGGUUAGUAUUUAUUAGUUUAGUGAUUUAUUAUUUGGGGAAUGAAGUUUUGAUUAUUAUUUUGAAUCUGUAUCGUGAUAUCGUUCUCUCUGGAAGAAAACGAAAGGAAGAAAAAAAAAGCGAGGGUUUCAAGAAUAUUUUUUUACAGAGGCUUUGUCUACAGUUGAAGGAAGAAGAAGAAGGGCCAAAAGAUGGAGAUAGGACUUGUUGACACCAUGAUCAUCUCCUCCAUGAGCUAGUUCUUCACUUAGGGCUUGGAUGAGCCCUAAGUUCAUGUAACCCUAACCUUUGUAUUUCUUUUCUUGGGGAAUUAUUAUGUUGUAAUUAAAUUGUAUGGCCUUGCGAUUUCUUAAUAUAUACAUGCUUGAUUUGAUAAA
Cornus florida is the source of this 2291-nucleotide long non-coding RNA. RefSeq lists it as uncharacterized. Lineage: Eukaryota; Viridiplantae; Streptophyta; Magnoliopsida; Cornales; Cornaceae. The record is from RefSeq and is a predicted model, not a curated record. The transcript has 2 exons.